AAUAUUGCACAAUGGGGGAAACCCUGAUGCAGCCAUGCCGCGUGUGUGAAGAAGGCCUUCGGGUUGUAAAGCACUUUCAGUAGGGAGGAAGGUAGUGUAGUUAACACCUGCAUUAUUUGACGUUACCUACAGAAGAAGCACCGGCUAACUCCGUGCCAGCAGCCGCGGUAAUACGGAGGGUGCGAGCGUUAAUCGGAAUUACUGGGCGUAAAGCGCAUGCAGGCGGCCUGUUAAGUCAGAUGUGAAAGCCCGGGGCUUAACCUCGGAAUUGCAUUUGAAACUGGCAGGCUAGAGUCUUGUAGAGGGGGUAGAAUUUCAGGUGUAGCGGUGAAAUGCGUAGAGAUCUGAAGGAAUACCAGUGGCGAAGGCGGCCCCCUGGACAAAGACUGACGCUCAGAUGCGAAAGCGUGGGGAGCAAACAGGAUUAGAUACCCUGGUAA
This 440-nucleotide ribosomal RNA is filed under the name uncultured bacterium. RNAcentral describes it as "bacterial SSU rRNA". It matches the Rfam family "Bacterial small subunit ribosomal RNA", at positions 360 to 793 of the family's 1533-position model. The record is from RNAcentral.